This 287-nucleotide unclassified non-coding RNA is filed under the name uncultured Auricularia. RNAcentral's name for it is "sequence contains ITS2". The stretch from base 1 to 52 matches the Rfam family "5.8S ribosomal RNA", at positions 103 to 154 of the family's 154-position model. The record is from RNAcentral. Lineage: Eukaryota; Fungi; Basidiomycota; Agaricomycetes; Auriculariales; Auriculariaceae.
AACGCACCUUGCGCUCCUUGGUAUUCCAUGGAGCAUGCCUGUUUGAGUGUCACGUAAACCCUCACCCUCGCGAUGUAACAGUCGCCCGCGGUGGACUUGGACCGUGCCGUAGUCGGCUCGUCUUGAAAUGCAUUAGCUGGCGCUUUUAGAGUGCUGGGCGACGGUGUGAUAAUUAUCUGCGCCAAUAGCCCUGGGCCUCUUCAGCGGCGCUGCUUACAGCCGUCCCUCGUGGACAACUAUUUUAAAGCUUUGGCCUCAAAUCAGGUAGGACUACCCGCUGAACUUAA